This 423-nucleotide ribosomal RNA is filed under the name uncultured bacterium. RNAcentral's name for it is "bacterial SSU rRNA". It matches the Rfam family "Bacterial small subunit ribosomal RNA", at positions 355 to 775 of the family's 1533-position model. The record is from RNAcentral.
UGAGGAAUAUUGGUCAAUGGGCGCAAGCCUGAACCAGCCAUCCCGCGUGCAGGAAGAAGGCGCUAUGCGUUGUAAACUGCUUUUCCAGGGGGCGAACGUUUCGUACGUGUACGGGAGUGACGGUACCUUGGGAAUAAGCAUCGGCUAACUCCGUGCCAGCAGCCGCGGUAAUACGGAGGAUGCGAGCGUUAUCCGGAUUUAUUGGGUUUAAAGGGUGCGUAGGCGGAUUAAUAAGUCAGUGGUGAAAACCUGCAGCUUAACUGUGGAAUUGCCGUUGAUACUGUUAGUCUUGAGUAUGGUCAAGGUAGGCGGAAUGUGUAAUGUAGCGGUGAAAUGCUUAGAUAUUACACAGAACACCGAUUGCGAAGGCAGCUUACUGGGCCGUUACUGACGCUGAUGCACGAAAGCGUGGGGAUCGAACAG